Molecule: non-coding RNA, 962 nt
Organism: Doryrhamphus excisus (bluestripe pipefish)
Lineage: Eukaryota; Metazoa; Chordata; Actinopteri; Syngnathiformes; Syngnathidae
Source: RefSeq, a predicted model, not a curated record
CCGUCUCUGCUUUGUGAAACAAUGAACAAAGACAAAGUCAACCUAUUUAGCAUUUUUGGCGUUUUAGAAAAUCACAACUACAUAAACUAUUAAUUUUUGUAAUUAAUUUUCCUGUUAGAGGUUUGUCCUUUUUAAAUAAACCACUUGAGGAGACAGUUAAUUAGCUAUGUCGUCAUAGUAGCAGUAGCUAGAUGAUUAGCUUGUUUACCCUGGAUGCUAACAAGUGGCCAUCUGCUUCCUCGUCACCUGCAAACAUCAGGUUUCUGUGCCGAGGGUGUGGCCACCAUGGAGGUGUGUGCACGGGUCAGCACUCCCCCGCCCCCCCCUUGGAUGGAAGCUCCUCUGGGGUUCUCGACUCAUGGCUUUAAGAGGCACUUCCUGACCAGCUCAUAAAUCAGCGAAGACCAAAUAGAGUCAUCCACACUCAAAGGAGGCCAAAGCGCCACUAAUUGGUGAUGAGCAGCAGGUGGAAACGGCCGAAAGCGAGCAGACGAGGACAUUUGACACAGAAUCUGCACCUAUUCACCUGGAUUUCUUUGGAUUUCGUGGUUCCCACAAAAACAGCCUUUUAAUAUACAGUCGUAUGUGUUGGAUUCCGAAUCCGAUCCGGAAGUAGAGACUGGACAGUCUGAAGUUUCUGAAGAAACGAGGUUACUUCAAGACGUCUCUCAAUGGAAGUGACUGUUGAGUCACAUGCCCACGCAGGAAGUGGCAGUUCUGUCUUGGCCGCCAACCUUCCGAUCGGUGUCCAAGCUCUGCCCCGAGCUGUCCUGUUUAUCGGCAAAUCCAAACCGGAGCGCAGAGAGCGAUGCAAUUCCUGCCUGAUGGUGGGACGGAGGAGGCCUGGCGAUUCCCGAGUACCUGGUGAGAACAUGCAAACUCCACCCACAAGUGCCCAAACGGAGAUAUGAAGCCAGAUCUUCCAGAUCUCCAGAUGCUAACAACAUGCUAACCGGUAGGCC